Molecule: long non-coding RNA, 926 nt
Organism: Haemorhous mexicanus (house finch)
Lineage: Eukaryota; Metazoa; Chordata; Aves; Passeriformes; Fringillidae
Exons: 3
Source: RefSeq, a predicted model, not a curated record
CUAUACUUAAAAUAUAAACUGCCAGCUUCUGUCACAUUGCGGCCCUAAGGGUUUUCAGGAUCAGACUGCUACUGCCAGAAAUAGGAUGCUGCAAUUGAAUCUGGUUUUAAAUUUUACACUAUAUCAGGCUUCCAAGUUGGGCAUAUUUACAUGUACAUUUGAUGGCAUCUAAUGUAUGCAUACAGCUAAAAUAAAAUUUGCAUGAUGGUAACUGAUCACAUGCAGGCUUUGAUGAGUUCCUUUCCUUCUGCUAAGCUCCACAUAUCUUAUUGAAUUUCUGCAUCAGUUCACAUCCUGGAUCAGAGUGAUGCACACAUCAUAUAUCUGUGGAAGAUAUACUGCUUCAGCAGGAACCUUCCUGCUCCAAUGAUGAUGACAUGAUGAACAAUAUACCUGAAAGCUGCUAGCUGAAGCAUAGAUUCCUGAAACAUAGAGAUUAACCACUCAAAUACAAGGAGGAGUCUGGAAAAUAACUCUGCAGGUCAGAAACAGCACUGAAACCCCAUGGCAGUGAAGAGUUUCUCUUACAGAAAAGUAUGACUCCAGAUACAAGGCCUCUCAAGAAUUAGACUGUUUGUCUUCUCUGGAGAGAAUGCUCCAGCAACUGAGCAAGUGACCAGGUAUUGCAAAAACAGUGAUGUGUAGAAGCAAGAAGAUCCCUAGCAUGGCAUUAAAAAGGUCACAGGAACCCAGCUCAAGCAGAGGUGCUUGUAUACUCAGGAGUCCCUUUUCAUUUCUUGCAUCAGCAGCCAACCCAAGCCUAGACUGGGACUUCUGGUUUACUCAUAUCUGGACUCUUGAUGUGAUAGAUGAGAGGAUAAUCUUUCUGCAUUCAGUUUACUCUGAUCCUGUCUACCAGUCGUUCUCCUGGGAAAAAAAAUAAAUCACUGAAUGGAGUAUGCACCUUUAAAUAAAAGGAUUAAAAA